CUCCCGCUUUCAUGACCGUCAAAACCGACAUCUGAGCAAAGAAACGGAGAGAGAAGAGAUAAAGAGCUCUCUCCGAUGGAGUCCGCGUCUCUUCCCAGAAUACCCCUCCUCGCCUCCUCCAAACCCCUCAAACCCUCCCUCGUUUAUCGCCACCUCCGUCUUCCCUUCCCACAAUUCCCCUCCUCCUCCUGCUGCUCCUCCUCGAAAGCCCGAUGCGUUGGGAGUCUCGACUCUCGGAGAUCCCUCGAUCUCGUCCCCAUCUUCUUCGGAGGGAAUAUACUCCGGAGCUCUCCCACGGCUCCGGUAUCGAGUAGAUUCGCCUCCAUAUCGAACUCCGCGGCCUUUUCCGGUGCUGGCGGCGGCGGCGGCGGGCCCCUCGGCGGCGGCGGCGGCGGGGGCGGCGGCGGCGGCGGGGGCGGCGGCGACUGCGGAUCGGGCGGUGGUGAGGCGGCGGUGAAGUCCAUCGCGGGGGAGUCCGAAGAGGUUCCGGUUUUGGGGUCUGACGUGAUCGUUCUCCAUGUCGGAGGAAUGUCUUGCGGUGGAUGCGCUGCGAGCGUGAAACGAAUCUUAGAAAGUCAGCCUCAAGUGUCUUCUGCCACCGUUAGUCUUGAGACAGAAACAGCAUACGUUUGCGUUGUACCUGAAGUCAAGGUUACACAGGAUUGGCAGCAGCAGUUAGGGGAGAAACUAGCAAACCACUUGACCGCUUGUGGAUUUAAGUCUGGCCUUAAAGUUCUUUGCAUGUCAGAUAUUAACUCGAGACCUUAUGGUAGCAUCAUACUUUCUUCUUCAUCAGAAUAUACAGUUUCUGCUGGCUAUUAAGGCUCUCGGACAAGGACACGCAGUUGGAGAGAUUCAAUCUGAGGGGGGAUAAGGAUGCAAUGUUGAACAUUGCUUUGAUUCUUCACAAUUAAAAUGAUGUUGGAGGCAGUUGAUGGACUCAACAAAGGACUUGCAGUCUGGCUUGGAGUUUUAUUAUCAUAAAUUUCCUCUGUUGUCAUUCAUUUACUUGAGCUGUUACCAUACAUUGAAGACUUAAAUGGAUCUGAUUUUUAUCAUGCAACUAGUAGAACACAAUACCAGCCAGCUCUGUUUGUUGUGUUAAUAUUUAGCUCUGUGCCUUAGAAAAGCAAUGCGACUUUCUAUAUUAGGUUUCACUAUUCUGCAAGUUUAGUUUGAUUGUUGUACAUGAAAUUUCUCCAGUUUUUCAAGUUCA
Molecule: non-coding RNA, 1216 nt
Organism: Phoenix dactylifera (date palm)
Lineage: Eukaryota; Viridiplantae; Streptophyta; Magnoliopsida; Arecales; Arecaceae
Source: RefSeq, a predicted model, not a curated record